GAUGAGUCCCAGCUCAGCCACCUACAGCUUGGUAGCAUUGGAUGAGUUCCUUGGCCUCUGAGAAAGGCAGAGAACUAUGUCACAGAGUUGCUGAGAAUUCAGUGAGUUCAGUGGUUGCUUCCACUACCUCUGAUGGACUCUUCUAGUGGUGCUCCGUUGCCAAUAACAUGAAAAUGAUGCCAGCCACGCCUUCCAGCAUUAAUGACCAAAAGUCUGAAGUCAUGGUUCCAAAUUAAGGGAACUAUGGGCGCUCAGUGUUGCAGGAAGGAGUCCCCCUAAACCUCGGGUUCUACUAUGAACACUGAGAAGAUGGACAUCGAAAAUGGAUGCAACUCGAGACCACGCUCACAAGUGAAAUAAACCAGACGCACAU
Molecule: long non-coding RNA, 373 nt
Organism: Chinchilla lanigera (long-tailed chinchilla)
Lineage: Eukaryota; Metazoa; Chordata; Mammalia; Rodentia; Chinchillidae
Exons: 3
Source: RefSeq, a predicted model, not a curated record